GACAAACGUGAAACCAACCUCGUACCCAGUGCUUCUGCGCUUAUUGCUCUCAGAAGCCCUGCAGGCUGCUCCAUUUACUGUUCGGAGUACUCUGGAUUUUGGGAACACUAAUGAAAUCGAACCAAUAAUCCUUUAAAGUAUAAAUAUUUAUAUUCGAGUACAACCUUGGUCAUUUCAAAAUUAACAGACUAGAAAUCUUACUGGUAACAUGGCUGGCUACCGAUUAUCUUGGAUUUGAGGGUUUUGAACAAGAUAUUGCAAGAUUUACUGUAUAAAUGCACAAGAUAUACUGUACUGUAAACAUGCAUCUACUUGAAGAAUGUAAAAUGAACAGUGAUGACUGAUGAGUGGUGUAAUAUAAUUCUGUACUUUAAUAUUUGGAAAACCUUUUUGGCAAAUCUUGAGAAUAAUGGCUUUGGGAAUCAAUGUUGAAAAUUAAAAACUGUCAGAUAGCUGCAUGGACAGCAUGGUUAGAAGCAUACAUGUCAUCGGAUGAAACUCCAACUUUUGUUAAUUGCUGAUGUUCUAGUAUUGGAAUGAACAGUGUUAUAAGAACCAAUGGUGCUGAAGUAAUUUGGGUUUAUUAUAAAAUAUUGUUUAUCAUUUAGUUCUGGCCAUUAACCUUACCUAUUAAGUUAUACAUUGUGUCUUACUUUUUAUUUUACUCUGGUGUGCACCCCCCCCCCCCAGGCUCUGGUCAACAGGGGUGCAUGGGGGUGUGUGCAAAAAUGAUGUUUAUCCUAAUUCUAACCAACUUAUGUUAAGGAAUUCAGUUGCGUAUCACUAGUUGACAAUAGUGGAAUAGCCAAUAUUAAAAAUUCUGAAUUUUUAAAUGUUUUGAGAAUCUAAAAAUUUUCCAGAAUGUUUUCUCAGAAUGCUGGAAAUGCCAUUUCAGAGACCCAAAUUUUAAAAAUUUUCCGUGGUAGUAUGCCCCCGGACCACCCUAGAAAUCUCGCGCCUUUGGCGCUCGUUUCGCCAUUGGUUAGCAC
Molecule: non-coding RNA, 989 nt
Organism: Paramuricea clavata
Lineage: Eukaryota; Metazoa; Cnidaria; Anthozoa; Malacalcyonacea; Plexauridae
Source: the annotation of a GenBank genome assembly